RNAcentral lists this ribosomal RNA (253 nucleotides) under uncultured bacterium. RNAcentral describes it as "partial 16S ribosomal RNA". It matches the Rfam family "Bacterial small subunit ribosomal RNA", at positions 524 to 776 of the family's 1533-position model. The record is from RNAcentral.
UACAGAGGGUGCGAGCGUUGUUCGGAAUUAUUGGGCGUAAAGGGUGCGUAGGCGGUUUUGUAAGUCUUAUGUGAAAUCUAUGGGCUCAACUCAUAGACUGCAUGAGAAACUGCAGGGCUUGAGUAUGGGAGAGGUGAGUGGAAUUCCUGGUGUAGCGGUGAAAUGCGUAGAUAUCGGAAGGAACACCUGUGGCGAAAGCGGCUCACUGGACCAUUACUGACGCUGAGGCACGAAAGCUAGGGGAGCAAACAGG